CGGGUGUAGCUCAAUGGUAGAGUUCUGGCCUUCCAAGCCAGCUGUGAGGGUUCGAUCCCCUUCACCCGCU
This 70-nucleotide transfer RNA is filed under the name Clostridioides difficile DA00246. RNAcentral's name for it is "partial tRNA-Gly". It matches the Rfam family "tRNA". Rfam says of the family: Transfer RNA (tRNA) molecules are approximately 80 nucleotides in length. Their secondary structure includes four short double-helical elements and three loops (D, anti-codon, and T loops). Lineage: Bacteria; Bacillati; Bacillota; Clostridia; Peptostreptococcales; Peptostreptococcaceae. The record is from RNAcentral.